Long non-coding RNA from Danio aesculapii, 554 nucleotides. RefSeq lists it as uncharacterized. NCBI's taxonomy places the organism in Eukaryota, Metazoa, Chordata, Actinopteri, Cypriniformes, Danionidae. The transcript has 5 exons. The record is from RefSeq and is a predicted model, not a curated record.
AAGUGUGCUGGCCUUUGUCAAUUUUGUGUCUUUUUAGUUGCCAAGAAAUUUGACCUUCCUACAUUGGAUAUAAAGGUCUUUGAUGACUCAAAGACAGAGGUUGAUGAGGAAAACAAGGAUCUACAGAACAUCAACUUGGCCAAAUGAUUGAGGGUAUUCUUAAGAACAGCCCUGGAGGAGAGAAGAUCAUAAAUGCAUACUUUCGUACCAAAAGUCUGUCAGAUAGCCGGAGACAUGACUUGGUCAAAAUAUUAGUUGCACAUUUGACAAAUGAACAUGGAACAAGUCCUUCCCGACGUUUGAAGAAAGUAUAUGCAAACCUGAGGAGCAGGCUUGGUUAUGAACAUUACUACAAUCCAGAAGAUGGAAGUGGACACCUGGCUUGGAGGAUUAAAACGCUGCAGAAAGAUGCAACUGACGGGAGGCUGAAAAGGCCACGAUAACACAAACAGGCUGAGACAGUGAUUUGUCAAUCCUGAUACUGGUUCAUCUUUUGCUACCCUCCAGCCAAGGCCGCAAAAGACCAGGAAAAAUCUCAGCUGGACAUACAUGUG